This 388-nucleotide ribosomal RNA is filed under the name uncultured soil bacterium. RNAcentral's name for it is "bacterial SSU rRNA". It matches the Rfam family "Bacterial small subunit ribosomal RNA", at positions 26 to 429 of the family's 1533-position model. The record is from RNAcentral.
AGAACGAACGCUGGCGGCAUGCCUAAUACAUGCAAGUCGAACGAACUCUUCGGAGUUAGUGGCGCACGGGUGCGUAACGCGUGGGAAUCUGCCCCUUGGUUCGGAAUAACAGUUGGAAACGACUGCUAAUACCGGAUGAUGACGAAAGUCCAAAGAUUUAUCGCCAAGGGAUGAGCCCGCGUAGGAUUAGGCUAGUUGGUGAGGUAAAGGCUCACCAAGGCAACGAUCCUUAGCUGGUCUGAGAGGAUGAUCAGCCACACUGGGACUGAGACACGGCCCAGACUCCGUACGGGAGCAGCAGUAGGGAAUAGUUGGACAAAGUGGGACGAAAGCCUAGACUCAGCAAGUGCCGCGUAGAGUGAGUAGGAAGUCCGUUAGGGUUAGUAAA